Molecule: ribosomal RNA, 490 nt
Filed under: uncultured delta proteobacterium
Lineage: Bacteria; Deltaproteobacteria
Description: bacterial SSU rRNA
Rfam family: Bacterial small subunit ribosomal RNA
Source: RNAcentral
GAGUUUGAUCUUGGCUCAGAGCGAACGCUAGCGGCGGGCCUAACACAUGCAAGUCGAGCGGAGAGCUUCGGCUCUUAGCGGCGAACGGGUGAGUAACACGUAGGUCACGUAUCCUCAGGUGGGAACAACCGUGGGAAACCAUGGCUAAUACCGCAUACGGCCCUUCGGGGUCAAAGCCUUCGGGCGCCAGAGGAGCGGCCUGCGUCCCAUUAUUUAGUCCUAGUUGGUGAGGUAACGGCUCACCAAGGGUACGAUGGGUAGCUGGUCUGAGAGGAUGAUCAGCCACACUGGGACUGAGACACGGCCCAGACUCCUACGGGAGGCAGCAGUGGGGAAUAUUGCGCAAUGGGCGAAAGCCUGACGCAGCCACGCCGCGUGAGUGAUGAAGGCCUUCGGGUUGUAAGCUCUGUCGGGAGGGACGAAGGGAGGCGAAUCCCUGACGGUACCUCGCCAGAAAGACACCGGCUAACUCUGUGCCAGCCGCCGCCGU